GACGAACGCUGGCGGCGUGCUUAACACAUGCAAGUCGAACGGAAAGGCCCUGCUUGCAGGGUACUCGAGUGGCGAACGGGUGAGUAACACGUGGGUGAUCUGCCCUGCACUUCGGGAUAAGCCUGGGAAACUGGGUCUAAUACCGGACAGGUGCCAUUCUUAGUCUGAUGGUUGGAAAGUUUUUUCGGUGUAGGAUGGGCUCGCGGCCUAUCAGCUUGUUGGUGGGGUAAUGGCCUACCAAGGCGGCGACCGGUAGCCGGCCUGAGAGGGGGGACGGCCACAUUAGGCCUGAGAUACGGACCAGACUCCUACGGGAGGCAGCAGUGGGGAAUAUUGCACAAUGGGCGCAAGCCUGAGGCAGCGGCGCCGCGUGGGUGAUGACGUCCUUCGGGUUGUAAACUCCUUUCGCUAGGGACGAAGCUUUUUGUGACGGUACCUAGAUAAGAAGCACCGGCUAACUACGUG
Molecule: ribosomal RNA, 465 nt
Filed under: uncultured bacterium
Lineage: Bacteria
Description: partial 16S ribosomal RNA
Rfam family: Bacterial small subunit ribosomal RNA
Source: RNAcentral